RNAcentral lists this ribosomal RNA (217 nucleotides) under uncultured bacterium. RNAcentral's name for it is "partial 16S ribosomal RNA". It matches the Rfam family "Bacterial small subunit ribosomal RNA", at positions 117 to 334 of the family's 1533-position model. The record is from RNAcentral.
GUAUGCAAUCUGCCUUUCACAGAGGGAUAGCCCAGAGAAAUUUGGAUUAAUACCUCAUAGUAUAUUGAUGUGGCAUCACAUUAUUAUUAAAGAUUUAUCGGUGAAAGAUGAGCAUGCGUCCCAUUAGCUUGUUGGUAAGGUAACGGCUUACCAAGGCAACGAUGGGUAGGGGUCCUGAGAGGGAGAUCCCCCACACUGGUACUGAGACACGGACCAG